CCACACAUUUAGUGGGAAAAUGGAGGAAAAAUAACUGCUAUUCAAAUUUCGCAAUCUGGUUUCUCCCCACCAGGCGCUGCCAAAUCCGCUGAAACGACCUGGCCGCCAAACUUGGCUUCUCUUUGCCGAGCCAGUGAUGCAUGCUGGAGGGGUGGCGGUUCAGGGUCAUCUCAUGCCUCGUUCAGCCAGGCUGCUGCAGCCACUGGCCAACAACCACAGCUAUGACUGCCAUAAAAUGUCCUACAGCAGAAAAUGACCAUAAGCCUCGUUAUUACAGGCAGAGGAAUAAUCUUUUAUGAGGCCAGCAGAACAAAUCCCAGCGAUAACAGGAUUGGUGGGGAAACGACUGGUUUAAGGCUGCCUCAGCUCACUGCCAGCCAAAAAGCAAAUUGUAUAUUGCUGUAUAUGUUUACGUGCAUUGUUUUGUGGGCUAUAGAAAUAUACACUGGUAGCGUACACCUCACUAUCAUCAACAACAACAACGAUCGUAACAAUAAUAAUAUAUUUUAUGCAUGUGUCAUGCGCACCUUCUCAUGAUUAAAUUGUUCCUGUGUGUGCAUAUACAUCUUUAUGACUCAGUGGCUCUCUGGUUUCCAGUCCAUCCACUAAAUGAAGUGGAAACCCAAAAGAAAUGACGAUGGAAACCCAGCGACACAUGACCGAGUUUUACGACACGCUGAUAAAAUUUCAUAGCCCGCUCCCUCUCAUUGGAGGCUCGAGGAGAGACCCCGCAGACGCCGUUAUUGCUUUAUUUUAUUAUUUCGGAGGUGCAAACCUCCUCUGUUGUUCUCGCACCGACCACAGCCAUCUGCAUAUUUCUCCUCCGUGUUUGCUCGGUGCAUAUUAAACACGGCUCCUCAUUUCCUCCAUGAGGGAAAAUGUCAGCAACAACAUUUCCAUUACAGCAGAAUGAUGUUUUUUCAAAUUGUGCGUGAUAGAGAGCUGUAAUUGCUCGCUGCAGCAGUACCUUUAGGGAUUCAAUACUGUCAAUGGAGUGCAAUUUUGUGUCAUUUACUAUUAGUCCACUGAGCAUGUUCGUUUGAUUGUCAUCUGCAGUGAAACGCUAACUGGGCUGCAGGGUAUCCACCUGCUCUCAGCUGCCGUGGCUUUAAUCAUAGAUUUUGGUGUAGCCCCG
This 1135-nucleotide long non-coding RNA is filed under the name Takifugu rubripes (torafugu). Its description in RNAcentral is "lncRNA (ENSTRUG00000028702.1)". Lineage: Eukaryota; Metazoa; Chordata; Actinopteri; Tetraodontiformes; Tetraodontidae. The record is from RNAcentral.